UACGGGGGGGGUAAGCGUUGUUCGGAAUUACUGGGCGUAAAGGGCUCGUAGGCGGUCAACUAAGUCAUACGUGAAAUCCCUCAGCUUAACUGGGGAACUGCGUGUGAUACUGGAUGGCUUGGAUUUGGGAGAGGGAUGCGGAAUUCCAGGUGUAGCGGUGGAAUGCGCAGAUAUCAGGAGGAACACCGGUGGCGAAGGCGGGAUCCUGGGCCAGUACUGACGCUGAGGAGCGAAAGCGUGGGGAGCAAACAGG
Molecule: ribosomal RNA, 253 nt
Filed under: uncultured bacterium
Lineage: Bacteria
Description: partial 16S ribosomal RNA
Rfam family: Bacterial small subunit ribosomal RNA
Source: RNAcentral